RNAcentral lists this ribosomal RNA (465 nucleotides) under uncultured bacterium. RNAcentral's name for it is "bacterial SSU rRNA". It matches the Rfam family "Bacterial small subunit ribosomal RNA", at positions 31 to 507 of the family's 1533-position model. The record is from RNAcentral.
AGGAACGCUGGCGGCGUGCUUAACACAUGCAAGUCGAACGGUGACGAGGAGCUUGCUCCUCUGAUCAGUGGCGAACGGGUGAGUAACACGUGAGCAACCUGCCCCAGACUCUGGGAUAACAGUUGGAAACAGCUGCUAAUACCGGAUACGAGACGGAGAGGCAUCUCUACCGUCUGGAAAGUUUUUCGGUCUGGGAUGGACUCGCGGCCUAUCAGCUAGUUGGUGAGGUAAUGGCUCACCAAGGCGACGACGGGUAGCCGGCCUGAGAGGGCGACCGGCCACACUGGGACUGAGACACGGCCCAGACUCCUACGGGAGGCAGCAGUGGGGAAUAUUGCACAAUGGGCGAAAGCCUGAUGCAGCGACGCCGCGUGAGGGAUGACGGCCUUCGGGUUGUAAACCUCUUUCAGCAGGGAAGAAGCGAAAGUGACGGUACCUGCAGAAGAAGCACCGGCUAACUACGUG